AGGACGUGUCGGCUGCUU
Molecule: small nuclear RNA, 18 nt
Filed under: Arabidopsis thaliana (thale cress)
Lineage: Eukaryota; Viridiplantae; Streptophyta; Magnoliopsida; Brassicales; Brassicaceae
Description: snRNA_04690
Source: RNAcentral